AGGAAAGCUCGAACCCUUGGAGAG
RNAcentral lists this non-coding RNA (24 nucleotides) under Arabidopsis thaliana (thale cress). Lineage: Eukaryota; Viridiplantae; Streptophyta; Magnoliopsida; Brassicales; Brassicaceae. The record is from RNAcentral.